GGGCUAAAGUGAAAUUUUACCUUUAUUAAUUUAAAUUUUUUUUAAAAAUUUAAGAGCCUAAAAUGUAAUUUUAUAUUUUAAGGGCCGGGGGGCCAUGCGGCUUCGCCCCUGGUUUUGAUAUAAAGAAAAAUGUAUAAAGCUCUAAAAAAAAUGUCAAGAGUUAACAGAAAAAUUGGUUAAAGGUGGUGGAAGAUCCCAAACGUAA
RNAcentral lists this long non-coding RNA (205 nucleotides) under Gossypium barbadense (sea-island cotton). Its description in RNAcentral is "long non-coding RNA (GBAR_LNC023529)". Lineage: Eukaryota; Viridiplantae; Streptophyta; Magnoliopsida; Malvales; Malvaceae. The record is from RNAcentral.